RNAcentral lists this ribosomal RNA (253 nucleotides) under uncultured bacterium. RNAcentral describes it as "partial 16S ribosomal RNA". It matches the Rfam family "Bacterial small subunit ribosomal RNA", at positions 524 to 776 of the family's 1533-position model. The record is from RNAcentral.
UACAGAGGUCCCAAGCGUUGUUCGGAUUCACUGGGCGUAAAGGGUGCGUAGGUGGUUGGGCAAGUCUGAUGUGAAAUCUCCGGGCUUAACCCGGAAAUGGCAUUGGAAACUGCCUGGCUAGAGUGUUGGAGGGGGGACUGGAAUUCUCGGUGUAGCAGUGAAAUGCGUAGAUAUCGAGAGGAACACCAGUGGCGAAGGCGAGUCCCUGGACAACGACUGACGCUGAGAAGCGAAAGCAUGGGGAGCAAACAGG